AACGAACGCUGGCGGCAUGCCUAACACAUGCAAGUCGAACGAGACCUUCGGGUCUAGUGGCGCACGGGUGCGUAACGCGUGGGAACCUGCCCUUAGGUUCGGAAUACCUCCCCGAAAGGGGUGCUAAUACCGGAUAAUGUCUUCGGACCAAAGAUUUAUCGCCUUUGGAUGGGCCCGCGUUGGAUUAGCUAGUUGGUAGGGUAAAAGCCUACCAAGGCGACGAUCCAUAGCUGGUCUGAGAGGAUGAUCAGCCACACUGGGACUGAGACACGGCCCAGACUCCUACGGGAGGCAGCAGUGGGGAAUAUUGGACAAGGGGCGAAAGCCUGAUCCAGCAAUGCCGCGUGAGUGAUGAAGGCCUUAGGGUUGUAAAGCUCUUUUACCCGGGAUGAUAAUGACAGUACCGGGAGAAUAAGCACCGGCUAACUCCGUG
This 433-nucleotide ribosomal RNA is filed under the name uncultured bacterium. RNAcentral's name for it is "partial 16S ribosomal RNA". It matches the Rfam family "Bacterial small subunit ribosomal RNA", at positions 29 to 507 of the family's 1533-position model. The record is from RNAcentral.